ACCCUUUUCAUUUUCCGCAACAUGCCUAUAUACGCUCGUGCCGGUUUCGACCGGCUAUGGUGAUAAAUGGCGGCGUGAAAUAGACGCAGCGGACCCGGGGGCGGUACCCGGCGGCUCCACCAUCCUUCUCGCAACGGCUUGGCCGGAUCGGGAAAGUUGACGGGGCCGAACUAGGAUCGACGUGUGUUCAAAGACGCUGUUUUUGCCCGGGCUGAGUAACCCGUUCAAGGCUCAAAACUCACAAGUGCCAAUGACAAUGACGCACUCGCUCUCGCAGCGUAAUCUGACGGCCUAACGGCCUGAUCUUACAAAGCCAGAACGCGGUUGGACCCACCGGGCAACAGAAGGGAUUCCAGCGGUUCGGGGUGUACCGGGCAACAGAAACACCCCACC
This 393-nucleotide transfer-messenger RNA is filed under the name Alphaproteobacteria bacterium. It matches the Rfam family "Alphaproteobacteria transfer-messenger RNA". Rfam says of the family: Bacterial tmRNA, also known as 10Sa RNA or SsrA, is named for its dual tRNA and mRNA-like properties. Its role is to liberate the mRNA from a stalled ribosome. To accomplish this part of the tmRNA is used as a reading frame that ends in a translation stop signal. Lineage: Bacteria; Pseudomonadati; Pseudomonadota; Alphaproteobacteria. RNAcentral also lists the same sequence under 1 other name. The record is from RNAcentral.